CGGGUUGUGGCUCAAUGGUAGAGAGUUUGCCUCACAUGCAUGAGGCCCUGGGUUCAAUUCUCAGCACCACAU
Molecule: transfer RNA, 72 nt
Filed under: Ictidomys tridecemlineatus (thirteen-lined ground squirrel)
Lineage: Eukaryota; Metazoa; Chordata; Mammalia; Rodentia; Sciuridae
Description: Spermophilus tridecemlineatus (thirteen-lined ground squirrel) tRNA
Rfam family: tRNA
About the family: Transfer RNA (tRNA) molecules are approximately 80 nucleotides in length. Their secondary structure includes four short double-helical elements and three loops (D, anti-codon, and T loops).
Source: Rfam by way of RNAcentral